GGACUUGGUACUACAAAAACCAUAGAUUGUCUUUAAUGGCUUGUAAAUGUACCUAAGUAGUCUCAUCCUCACAAUCUUCCUAUUGAUAAUGUAUCAUUAGAAGAAUAUGUUAGAAAAGGUCUAUCAUAAAGAGGACAACACUUUUUAUGUCAUAAUUCUUCAAUUACAAAUUGUUGUAUGAAGAAAUAAGAGUUGCUUUGAACAACUCUUAAUCAAUGCAAACACUUAGUGCUUGUUUCUUUGUUACAUGAACAAGGAACUUGAGAAGAAAGCACAAAAGGCAUGGACACUUAAUGUGCCAUGAUUCUUCACUUCCAAAUGUUGUAUGAAGAAAUGAGAGUUGCCUUGUACAACUCUUGAAAGUUUGUAAUUAUGUUUAGAACAUAAUGGUUGGUUGACAAAAAUAGUCCAUUAACAUGGACUUAUGAUGAUUUUGAAUCAUUGAGUGUUGAAGUGUUAAACCACUUAACGAGACGGAAACUAGGCAAGGACUUUACCUUUGUUUCCCUAUCCUAAAUGGUUCACUAAGUUUAUGGUAAACUAUGUAGUGAACAAUAACCACAUACUC
Molecule: long non-coding RNA, 568 nt
Filed under: Malus domestica (apple)
Lineage: Eukaryota; Viridiplantae; Streptophyta; Magnoliopsida; Rosales; Rosaceae
Description: long non-coding RNA (MDOM_LNC021120)
Source: RNAcentral